This 101-nucleotide small nuclear RNA is filed under the name Castor canadensis (American beaver). Lineage: Eukaryota; Metazoa; Chordata; Mammalia; Rodentia; Castoridae. The record is from RNAcentral.
GAGCUCAUGUCAGCACACACCCUAAAACUGAAGGACAGAGAAGCUUCACAGGGCCCCUCCACUAGAAUGACAAGCAAAUUCGUGAAGCACUCCACAUUUUU